UACGUAGGUGGCAAGCGUUGUCCGGAAUUACUGGGUGUAAAGGGAGCGUAGGCGGGAGGAUAAGUUGGACGUAUAAACUAUCGGCUCAACCGGUAGAGGCGUUCAAAACUGUCCUUCUUGAGUGAAGUAGAGGUAAGCGGAAUUCCUAGUGUAGCGGUGAAAUGCGUAAAUAUUAGGAGGAACACCAGUGGCGAAGGCGGCUUACUGGGCUUUAACUGACGCUGAGGCUCGAAAGCGUGGGUAGCAAA
RNAcentral lists this ribosomal RNA (248 nucleotides) under uncultured Oscillospiraceae bacterium. RNAcentral's name for it is "partial 16S ribosomal RNA". It matches the Rfam family "Bacterial small subunit ribosomal RNA", at positions 524 to 772 of the family's 1533-position model. Lineage: Bacteria; Bacillati; Bacillota; Clostridia; Eubacteriales; Oscillospiraceae. The record is from RNAcentral.